RNAcentral lists this transfer RNA (83 nucleotides) under Parcubacteria group bacterium CG1_02_41_26. RNAcentral's name for it is "tRNA-Leu". It matches the Rfam family "tRNA". Rfam says of the family: Transfer RNA (tRNA) molecules are approximately 80 nucleotides in length. Their secondary structure includes four short double-helical elements and three loops (D, anti-codon, and T loops). The record is from RNAcentral. RNAcentral also lists the same sequence under 2 other names.
GCCCGGGUGUUGGAAUGGUAGACAAUAUGGACUUAAAAUCCAUUGGGAGCAAUCCCGUGGGAGUUCGACUCUCCCCCCGGGCA